This 797-nucleotide ribosomal RNA is filed under the name uncultured marine thaumarchaeote. RNAcentral describes it as "bacterial SSU rRNA". It matches the Rfam family "Archaeal small subunit ribosomal RNA", at positions 82 to 879 of the family's 1478-position model. The record is from RNAcentral. Lineage: Archaea; Thermoproteati; Nitrososphaerota.
ACGGCUGCUCAGUAACACGUAGUCAACUUACCCUAUGGACGAGGAUAAUCUCGGGAAACUGAGCAUAAUACUCGAUAGAUCAUAAUGCCUGGAACGGUUUAUGGUUGAAAUGAUUCGUCGCCAUAGGAUAGGACCGCGGCCUAUCAGCUUGUUGGUGAGGUAAUGGCCCACCAAGGCGAUUACAGGUACGGGCUCUGAGAGGAGAAGCCCGGAGAUGGGUACUGAGACAAGGACCAAGGCCCUAUGGGGCGCAGCAGGCGAGAAAACUUUGCAAUGUGCGAAAGCACGACAAGGUUAAUCCGAGUGAUUUCUGCUAAAGAAAUCUUUUGCAAGUCAUAAAACCACUAGUGAAUAAGGGGUGGGCAAGUUCUGGUGUCAGCCGCCGCGGUAAAACCAGCACCUCAAGUGGUCAGGAGGAUUAUUGGGCCUAAAGCAUCCGUAGCCGGCUCUGUAAGUUUUCGGUUAAAUCCAUGUGCUCAACGCAUGGGCUGUCGAAAAUACUGCAUAGCUAGGGAGUGGGAGAGGUAGACGGUACUCGGUAGGAAGGGGUAAAAUCCUUUGAUCUAUCGAUGACCACCUGUGGCGAAGGCGGUCUACCAGAACACGUUCGACGGUGAGGGAUGAAAGCUGGGGGAGCAAACCGGAUUAGAUACCCGGGUAGUCCCAGCUGUAAACGAUGCAGACUCGGUGAUGCAUUGGCAUAUAGCCAGUGCAGUGUCGCAGGGAAGCCGUUAGGUCUGCCGCCUGGGAAGUACGUACGCAAGUAUGAAAGCUUAAAGGAAUUGGCGGGGGAGCAG